Long non-coding RNA from Aphis gossypii (cotton aphid), 3413 nucleotides. RefSeq lists it as uncharacterized. The transcript has 2 exons. Lineage: Eukaryota; Metazoa; Arthropoda; Insecta; Hemiptera; Aphididae. The record is from RefSeq and is a predicted model, not a curated record.
UUACAAAGUAAUUAAAUAAAAAUUUUAUUAUCAUAAUAACAUUAAAAUUGAUUUUAAAUUCUGUUGAAGUUUUCUUAUAUUUGGUACUGUAUUAUGCCUAUCACAAUUUAGAGUGUAUACUACAUAUUUAAUCGUAAAUACAAUUAUACAAAUAUCAUUCGCACGCCAUAAUUAAUAAAAUAUUAUUAUACUCUAACGUUUUGAAUUCAAAAUAAACAAUUUUCGUGAUAUUGGAAUGUAUGUAUUAAAAACUUAUGUUUACUGAUAAUUAUUUGUUUUUCAACCAUAUCUCAUGUAUUCUUGUGAAUAAUUCUUUUUUUUAGCUUUGUCCGCAACCUAAUGUUAAAUAGAUACAUAUUAUAAAAAAAAACAAUAUAAUAUUAAAAACACUCAGAAAUAAAUUUUAUGAUUGUAGUAUAUGUAAUAGGUAUAAUACCAUCGUAAUGUAUUAUUAUGUACCUAAUUUUGCGCGUGCAUCCGAAUUGCAUGCCAAAAAAAAAACAUAAAUUGGGAUGUCCAAAUUGCGUGCCAUCUCUUGAAAGGGUUUGUCUGAAUUGCAUGCCAUCAGAUUAUCAGGUAUCAGCAAUAGUUUAUUUACUAUACCUACACUUAUUUAUUAGGUAUAACUUGAACUUUUUUUUUGAACUUUUCUAGUUUAACUUACUUUUCCACUGUAAGAACGGACUUUUGUUACAUUUAGCUUAGUAUAAUAAAACAAAUUUAUCAAUGGCAUUAUAAAAUGAAAUUGUUUUCACUUCAUCUCAUUCUAUUGAUGAUAUAGCUAUUCUGGUGAAUCGACUUUGAUAAAUUGUUGAUCUAAGAUAUUUUUUUAUAAUUUUUAGCUUGCUGAAGCUCCUUUUACAAGUAGCUUCAGUUUAAAAAUUGUCCAUAUUUUAUGAAUUUUUAAAUUUAAACGGUUAUAGUAGUAUGAUUUAGCCGAUUCUAAAACCGCAUCCACAUCCCGCAUCCCUCAUCCCGCAUCCUUAUCCCUCAUCCCUCAUCCAUCGCCCGCCGCCGCCAUAUCCACUACGUAACCGACAUCAAUUUUAUGUUAUCGCCAGUUAUCAUUAUCAUUGUUAUAAUUUUCUUAUCAGUGUUAUCAUUUUCUUAUCACUGUUAUCAUUUUAUUAUCAACUGUUAUCAUAUAUUGUUAUCAUAUAUUAUUUUAAUAACGUAAAGAAAAAUGUACAAAAAAUCUGGUCUUAGGGUUGAUCCUUAUACCCCCAUUAUAAUCGAAGACGUCUUUUCCCACUUCGACUCUGACUCCAUUGAUGAUGGAAAUCAAAACUGUUAUACUUAAGAAUAAAAUCUAAUUUAAUAGUCAUUGGCAAUUUUAGCAUACACAUCCCAUCAAAUGUCUUUAAGUGGUCAUAUUAUAAUAGUGAUACUUAAUAGAGUCUGUCGCCGCACAUUAAGGUAUUAUAAAGAAUGUAUACACAUUAGCGCAUCCAGUAGGCAUAUAAUUAAAUGUAAUAGUCAUUGGCAAUUUUAGCAGACACAUUAAUACAUCUGAAUUAAAUGUAAAAAAAUUAUUGAUGUUUAAUAGCAGGCACAUUAGCAAAUCUGGAUAUUAUAUUGUGGUAAAUUUCCAAAACUUUCGUAAUAUUCUACUUUUUUUCCGAUUUUUUUAUACGCUACCCAAUGAUUUCCUGUACUUUUUGUCGUAUCCAAGUUGAUAAUCCCAGAUUCUAAGUGUUUAGGACGAACUGGCAACUUAUCUCUGGUAAACACAUCGAUGAAAUGAGGUAUAUCGCGAGCGAAUUUUAAGAGUUCGUAAUCGUACAACGCUCUAUUGGGUAACGUAGCUAUUAGUUUUUUUCGUUUGUACACCCCUUCCAGUUUUAUUCGGUGUUACUAUUUUAUAUGAGUUACCUUUAUACGGUGCGAAAUAUACUUCAUUACCUAAAUGUGAUGGCGUUUUUCUAUUAAAUUCAUUUGCCAUCUUAACAACGUUAGCAACACCGCCAGUUAGAGCUCCCAUAGACCGGCGAAAAUCGGAAUGAGCGGUAACACACCGCCUUUUUUCGGUACUGUUAUUACUUAUUAUUCUUGAAGCUUUCGUUUUCUUAGUUGUAAAUGUUUUUCGUGCUACGGCUACAUAUUUUUUGCUCAAUUUCAACAAUUUUUUUUCGCCUAUAUUUUUCUUGAUAACAUUUUUGGCUGCUUUGAUCGCCGCUUUGUAUCCACAACCACCACCGAUUUUUCGUUUUGUCUUCAUGGCAGUAGUCACGCCCCAAGCUACAGCUUUUUCUUUUAAACUAGAAUCUUUUGACUUUAACCUGUCCCAGGCUCUUUGUUCUAAUAUAUGGUCAGCUUCGUUACGAUCUGUGAUAGAGUUACUGCGCUCGUAUGCUAUGUCAUGAUCUCUACAAGCAGAGUCUAGUAGGUUUAUACCUUUAUCGCCUCGAGCUAAUCAUUUUUUCAAAUUUGUACCCGGUCCACAGUAUUGAUAACCCAAAAAAAAAAAUAUUAUUAUUAUUAUUAUUAUUAUGAUAAUAUCGGAUUUAAUAAACUUACCAGGCACGUGAAGUUCGAUCGGUAGUUUGUUUAUAAGUGUGUUGAUAAGACCACCACCUUUAUUCUUGUUGCUUCUUCGAGCUGGUGUCAUUCUCAGUCUGGCGAAACAAAAAAAAAAUAUUUCAAAUCUCAAACAGUCGAUUAAAUCGUUUUCGGCUAAAUUAGAUAAAAUCGAGCAUUUACUCGAAGAAAAUCAUAAAUCCGCUCAAGUACAAGAAGAAAAAAAGGAAACAAUACAAUUAAUGUGUGUACAGAUAGCUGAGCAUAUGACAAGAGGUGAAGUAUCAUUACAAUCAAUCAAAGAAAGUAUAGAAGUGUUAAAAAACAUAAUACCUGCUAUACUCAGCCGUCUUAAUACUAUUGAAACGUAUUGUAAAGACAAGUCAUAAUGUCUUCGGCAAUCUUAGACAUGCAAUGCGUACUUGGAGUCAACAGUAAAUACAUGGUUAAAGAGAUGUCUAUAGUGGACACAGAGACAUGGACGACUCAACACUUGAUUUUCAAGAAUUCAAAAUCUAUGCAGGACAACAAAAGUCGGAAGACUAAUAAGUGGCUGGAACGUAAUAUUAUCAUCAACUAUCCAUAGAUUACGGCGAUAUCGAGUAUGAAGAACUCGGUAAAAUAUUAAAUUCAUUAAAGUUCAACUGCAUUUACGUCAAAGGAGAACAGACAAAACAAGUUCUUAUGGAGUAUAUACCGCACGUAGCACUCAUCAACAUUGAAGACUUGGGCUGCCCUCGAUUAGAUCAAAUAUGCGAUGACGAAACUUUACCUUGUUGUAUUUUUCAUAUGGAAUUUAAUCCUAAACAGUGUACAUUUUAUAAAGUUUUUGCUAUAACAAAAUGGUUUGUAAAUAAUUCUUAAAAAUAUAACAAUAAACAUAAUAAUAUUUAACA